GAUCAUGGCUCAGGAUGAACGCUGGCGGCGUGCUUAACACAUGCAAGUCGAACGGGAAUUACUUUAUUGAAACUUCGGUCGAUUUAAUUUAAUUCUAGUGGCGGACGGGUGAGUAACGCGUGGGUAACCUGCCUUAUACAGGGGAUAACAGUCAGAAAUGACUGCUAAUACCGCAUAAGCGCACAGGACCGCAUGGUCUGGUGUGAAAAAACUCCGGUGGUAUAAGAUGGACCCGCGUUGGAUUAGCUAGUUGGG
This 255-nucleotide ribosomal RNA is filed under the name uncultured bacterium. RNAcentral describes it as "partial 16S ribosomal RNA". It matches the Rfam family "Bacterial small subunit ribosomal RNA", at positions 15 to 253 of the family's 1533-position model. The record is from RNAcentral.